Molecule: long non-coding RNA, 619 nt
Filed under: Sorghum bicolor (sorghum)
Lineage: Eukaryota; Viridiplantae; Streptophyta; Magnoliopsida; Poales; Poaceae
Description: long non-coding RNA (SBIC_LNC003747)
Source: RNAcentral
ACACUUCUCUCGCAACUUAAGAUGGCUUGGGGCAAAACUUAAAUUUCAGGACAGAGGGAGUACUUCCAAGAGAUUAAUUCAAACUCAAAUUAGAUGGGUGGCAUCACAAAUACAGAUUAAAUACACACAUGCUGUUACUUAUUUGAAACAGUAUCUGUAUAACAAGUUACUGUGUUCUAUUUACUUAAGGUUCACAGCUGCUAAUGCACUAAGCUUUGCUUCAGUCUGGAUUCCAAAACUCAUCGUUGUUUGGUUGGGCUGAAUAACAUUUUCAAGGUAAAUAGUUUCAUGGUCAAUAAGAUGAUUUUUGCCCAAAGAACAUUGUUGGCUAGUUAAAAUUGUGUAUUCAGGGUUUUCUAUGAUCUAUUGAUUGGUAAACGUCCUAAGAAUUGUUCCUGUAGCACUACAUACACAGCCAUGGCAAAAGAGUGAUUUCAUUAUCUUUUCCCCAGAGUUAUAACACAUGAAAACUGAGGAAGCCAAUUGUGGCAUCCUCUCUUCAAGGAUUCUGUCCCUCAAGCAGAUAGUUUGUUUAUUCUAGUAAUGACACAAAAAAAUGAAUGCAAACGUAUACGAGUAUAAGAAAACAAUUGAGUUAUAGCAAAUUUACAUUCAGUAG